This 433-nucleotide ribosomal RNA is filed under the name uncultured bacterium. Its description in RNAcentral is "partial 16S ribosomal RNA". It matches the Rfam family "Bacterial small subunit ribosomal RNA", at positions 29 to 507 of the family's 1533-position model. The record is from RNAcentral.
AACGAACGCUGGCGGCAGGCCUAACACAUGCAAGUCGAGCGGACCCUUCGGGGUUAGCGGCGGACGGGUGAGUAACGCGUGGGAAUAUGCCCUUCUCUACGGAAUAGUCCUGGGAAACUGGGGGUAAUACCGUAUACGCCCUUUGGGGGAAAGAUUUAUCGGGGAAGGAUUAGCCCGCGUUGGAUUAGGUAGUUGGUGGGGUAAUGGCCUACCAAGCCGACGAUCCAUAGCUGGUUUGAGAGGAUGAUCAGCCACACUGGGACUGAGACACGGCCCAGACUCCUACGGGAGGCAGCAGUGGGGAAUCUUAGACAAUGGGGGCAACCCUGAUCUAGCCAUGCCGCGUGAGUGAUGAAGGCCUUAGUGUUGUAAAGCUCUUUCAGCUGGGAAGAUAAUGACGGUACCAGCAGAAGAAGCCCCGGCUAACUCCGUG